UUUGGGUGCUGAUAGUGGGGCUGUUGCUUCUUCCUUGA
This 38-nucleotide transfer RNA is filed under the name Prionailurus bengalensis (leopard cat). Its description in RNAcentral is "partial tRNA-Pro". Lineage: Eukaryota; Metazoa; Chordata; Mammalia; Carnivora; Felidae. RNAcentral also lists the same sequence under 1 other name. The record is from RNAcentral.